Molecule: unclassified non-coding RNA, 408 nt
Filed under: uncultured Agaricomycetes
Lineage: Eukaryota; Fungi; Basidiomycota; Agaricomycetes
Description: sequence contains ITS2
Rfam family: 5.8S ribosomal RNA (bases 1-154)
Source: RNAcentral
AACUUUUAGCAAUGGAUCACUUGGUUCUCCCAUCGAUGAAGAACGCAGCGAAACGCGAUAUGUAAUGUGAAUUGCAGAAUUCAGUGAAUCAUCGAAUCUUUGAACGCACCUUGCGCCCUUUGGUAUUCCGAAGGGCAUGCCUGUUUGAGUGUCAUGAAGUCUUCAACCUCCAUCGGUUUUUACAAGCCGGUGCCGUGGUUGGUCCUGGACGAUCAGCCUAGCCUGGCUCGCCCUAAAUACAUUAGCUGGAAGGCCCCAUGUCCGGCUCAGCGUGAUAAUUCAUUUGCUGGCUGCCAACUGUGGGUCAUGCCGCUUCCAACCCUCCUUCAGUGGAGAACUUUUUGUCAGUUUGGCCUCAAAUCAGGUAGGACUACCCGCUGAACUUAAGCAUAUCAAUAAGCGGAGGCU